CCUACGGGGGGCUGCAGCUAAGAAUCUUCCGCAAUGGGGGAAACCCUGACGGAGCGACGCCGCGUGGACGAUGGAGGCCGUAAGGUUGUAAAGUCCUUUUCCUGGUGAAGAAUGACUGUGGGAGUGGAAAGCCCAUGGGAUGACGUUAGCCAGGGAAUAAGCCCCGGCCAAUUACGUGCCAGCAGCCGCGGUAAUACGUAUGGGGCAAGCGUUGUUCGGAGUUAUGGGGGGGAAUGAGCAAGUAGGGUGCGAAAAGGCAGGGCUUAACCCUGCAGAUGCGCUGGAAACUGGUGGGCUUGAGUUCCUGAGGGGAAGCUGGAAUUCCAGGUGUAGGAGUGAAAUCUGUAGAUAUCUGGAAGAACACCGGUGGCGAAGGCGAGCUUCUAUCAGAGGACUGACGCUGAGGCGCGAAAGCGUGGGGAGCAAACAGGAUUAGAUACCCCAGUAGUC
This 450-nucleotide ribosomal RNA is filed under the name uncultured bacterium. RNAcentral describes it as "partial 16S ribosomal RNA". It matches the Rfam family "Bacterial small subunit ribosomal RNA", at positions 338 to 795 of the family's 1533-position model. The record is from RNAcentral.